This 465-nucleotide ribosomal RNA is filed under the name uncultured ciliate. Its description in RNAcentral is "SSU rRNA". It matches the Rfam family "Eukaryotic small subunit ribosomal RNA". Lineage: Eukaryota; Ciliophora. The record is from RNAcentral.
AUUUGUCUGGUUAAUUCCGAUAACGAACGAGACCUUAACCUGCUAACUAGAUACUUUUAUUCUAUAAAUGUCAUCUUCUUAGAGGGACUAUGUAAUUAAAAUACAUGGAAGUUUGAGGCAAUAACAGGUCAGUGAUGCCCUUAUAUGUCCUGGGCUGCACGCGUGCUACACUGAUGCAUACAACAAGUGCCCAACCAGACAUGGUACGGCAAUCUCGAAUAUGCAUCGUGAUGGGGAUAGAUCUUUGCAAUUAUAGAUCUUGAACGAGGAAUUCCUAGUAAGUGCAAGUCAUCAUCUUGCAUUGAUUAUGUCCCUGCCCUUUGUACACACCGCCCGUCGCUCCUACCGAUACCGGGUGAUCCGGUGAACCCUUUGGACUCAUCUGAGAAAGAUAAGUAAACCAUAUCACCUAGAGGAAGGAGAAGUCGUAACAAGGUUUCCGUAGGUGAACCUGCRGAAGGAUCA